This 381-nucleotide ribosomal RNA is filed under the name Triticum aestivum (bread wheat). RNAcentral describes it as "partial small subunit ribosomal RNA". Lineage: Eukaryota; Viridiplantae; Streptophyta; Magnoliopsida; Poales; Poaceae. The record is from RNAcentral.
UGGAUCGACAUUGCAGUUCCGAAGAGUGAGGGAGGAAUGGGAUUCAGGGACAUUCAACUUUUCAACCAAGCUAUGUUGGCGAAGCAGGGUUGGAGGUUGAUAACGAAUCCAAACUCGCUUUGUGCAAGAAUUCUAAAAGGCAAGUAUUACCAUGAUUGUGACUUCAUGUCCGCAAGAAAUAAAAGAAAUGCUAGUCAUACAUGGAGAGCUAUUCUGCAUGGGAGAGAGGCGCUUAGCAAAGGUUUAAUUAAGAGGGUUGGUGAUGGAAGUUCUAUCAGGAUUUGGGAGGACCCGUGGAUACCGAAGAGUUAUAGUAAGCAGCCACUGAUUAGAUUACCUACUGCAUAUGUAUUAAAAGUGAAAGAGCUGAUUUAUCCAUGA